AUGUGUGAUGGGAGAGCACUUGCUGUCGGGGCUGGUUACGGCGCGGGCAAGAUAACAUUCACGGUCGUGAUGAGUUGCCUCACGGCGGCCUCCGGCGGGCUCAUACUUGGGUACGACGUCGGAAUCACAGGUGGGUUGACGCAGAUGGAGUCCUUCCUCGAGGCCUUCUUUCCGGAGAUUCUGCGGAAGAUGUCCAACGCGAAGCAGGAUACCUAUUGCAUCUUCGACAGUCAGUUGCUCAACACCUUCGUCUCCUCGUUCUACCUCGCCGGCAUGCUCGCCAGCCCGAUCGCCGGCCAUCUAACCAGGACGUUGGGCCGGAAGAAUUCCAUGCUCAUAGGCGGCUUGCUGUUUCUCGCCGGCGCCCUCCUCAACUUCACCGCAGUUAACAUUGAGAUGCUCAUCAUCGGCCGCAUUCUCCUCGGCGUCGCCGUCGGUUUCACUAGUUUGUCUGCGCCCUUAUACCUGGCAGAGAUAGCGCCGGCGCGGUGGCGCGGGGCGUUCACGAGCACCUUCCACUUCUUCCUCAACGUGGGCCUGUUCAUGGCCGAUCUUGUCGACUACGGCGCCAACACCAUUCCUAGGUGGGGCUGGCGCCUCUCUCUCGGCAUCGGCAUCGUCCCUGCUGGCUUCAUCGUCGUGGACGCGGCGCUCAUCCCGGAUACGCCCAACAGCCUGGUGCUGCGGGGGAAGGUCGACGAGGCUCGCGCUUCACUGCGGCGCAUCCGUGGACUGGACGCCGACAUCAACGCGGAGCUCCAGGAUAUCAUCCAAGCCGCGGAGGAGGACAAGAUGCACGAGUCUGGCGCACUCCGGCGCCUCGGUCGCCGCGAGUACCGGCCACACCUUGUUAUGGCCGUGGCCAUGACGGUGUUCUUUGAGCUAACGGGCGUGAUCGUGGUGUCCAUCUUCACGCCUCUCCUCUUCUACACCAUCGGGUUCACGAGCCAGAAGGCCAUCCUGGGCUCGAUCAUCACCGACGUCGUCAGCCUCGCAUCCAUAGUGGUCGCCGGGCUCGUCGUCGACCGGUUCGGCCGCCGCUCUCUCUUCUUUCUGGGCGGCGUCGUCCUAAUCCUGUCCCUGGUGGCCAUGGCGUGGAUCUUCGGCGCGCAGCUGGGGACCAACGGCGAGGUCGCGAUGCCGCGAGGUUACGCGAUGGCCGUGGUGGCGCUCGUCUGCGUAUACACGGCGGGAUUCGGCGUGUCAUGGGGCCCCCUCUCGUGGGUGAUCACCAGCGAGAUCUUCCCCCUUGAGGUGAGGUCGUCGGCUCUAGGCUUGAGCGGGGCAAUCUCGGGGUUGCUCACCUUUGCGCAGUCGCAGUCAUUCCUGGAAAUGUUGUGCCGGUUCAAAUACAUUACCUUCGGUUACUACGCCUGGUGGGUGGUCGUCAUGACGGUGUUCGUGGCGGUGUUCCUACCGGAGACGAAGGGCGUACCCAUCGAGUCCAUGGGCGCUGUAUGGGCGCAGCACUGGUACUGGAGGCGCUUCGUCAAGCCGGCACCAGCAACGCGGGCCAAUGGGCCUGUUUGA
RNAcentral lists this ribosomal RNA (1530 nucleotides) under Triticum aestivum (bread wheat). RNAcentral's name for it is "partial small subunit ribosomal RNA". Lineage: Eukaryota; Viridiplantae; Streptophyta; Magnoliopsida; Poales; Poaceae. The record is from RNAcentral.